RNAcentral lists this ribosomal RNA (444 nucleotides) under uncultured bacterium. RNAcentral's name for it is "bacterial SSU rRNA". It matches the Rfam family "Bacterial small subunit ribosomal RNA", at positions 958 to 1398 of the family's 1533-position model. The record is from RNAcentral.
AACGCGAAGAACCUUACCUGGGCUUGACAUGCAUCGUGUCGCCGGUGAAAGCCGGCCAGUGUAGCAAUACACGCUUUGCACAGGUGCUGCAUGGCUGUCGUCAGCUCGUGUCGUGAGAUGUUGGGUUAAGUCCCGCAACGAGCGCAACCCUUAUCCCUAGUUGCCAUCGGGUCAAGCCGGGCACUCUAGUGAAACUGCCUCGGAUAACGAGGAGGAAGGUGGGGAUGACGUCAAGUCCUCAUGGCCUUUAUGUCCAGGGCUACACACGUGCUACAAUGGUCGGUACAAACCGUCGCAAACCCGCGAGGGGGAGCUAAUCGGAAAAAGCCGGCCUCAGUUCGGAUUGGAGUCUGCAACUCGACUCCAUGAAGCUGGAAUCGCUAGUAAUCGCGGAUCAGAACGCCGCGGUGAAUACGUUCCCGGGCCUUGUACACACCGAGUAUA